This is a non-coding RNA of Macaca mulatta (Rhesus monkey), 2522 nucleotides long. The record is from RefSeq and is a predicted model, not a curated record. Lineage: Eukaryota; Metazoa; Chordata; Mammalia; Primates; Cercopithecidae.
GGGAUUACAGGCAUGAGCCCAUUGCACCUGGCCAGAGUUUACUUUAUUAUUGGCACAAAUGUCUUUUCAUUUCUUGGUAAACAUAGUAUUGGCACAUGGAAGAUGAUUUCAAUGGUUGCCAGCUUUGGGAACGUUUCUGUGGCCUGGUUAAAACAUGACAGCAAAGUGUGGGGAAGCAGGGGAACCCUCGUCUGAAUCUUCAUAUUUAGAAACAUGCUUUUGUUGUUCUUAGGUCUGUAUACUCCUGAGAUGACGUCUUGCUUUUCUCAGCCGGUGCACUAUCUUGCUUCUCUUCUUGACCAGCUAACUGUAUAUUUUAAAUAUGCAUAUGCAAAUAUAAAUAUGCAUGUUAAAUAUUUUACAUUUCUUUCAUAUUUUUGGAUGCUUUAGCCUACAGCUCUUUGCAAAAUUUUCUAGCCCUAAGAGUCUUAUUGUGGCAACUAAAUUGCAUAGGCUAUGACAAAUAACUUAUGGCUUAUCUUACAGGAAUUUAAUUGCCUGCAAUGUCUACAUGUUUAGAGAGAUUGGCAUCAAAUAUCAACUUAGUGAAUGAUACAAUAUGCAUUCAGUUUUGCUUCUGGAAAACAUUUCUCAUAUCAGAAAAGGAGGAUGUAGGAGUAUGGGAAAUAGUGCAUUCUACCAAAAAUGUCCUUGGUGAUUUUGAGAGGCAUUUAGGAGUAAAUGUGUGCAAGAAAAAAAUAUACAGAAUAAAAGCAUAUCAAUGUAAAUGGAAAGUAAAUAGAUACCUCUCAAGGAAAGACACAAACUAUUUCCUGCUUCUCUGCAAAUCAAAACAAAGCUUGUAGGUGCUACAUUUAUUUUCUUCACAAAAGAACCAUGGUAAGGGUGCGAACAUAUUCGUGGAUAUGUAUUUGUAAGUGUUGACAAACUCUUGUUUCAUUUGUGUGAAACUCCUACACUUGCCUUUACUGAAUCAAAAUCUUUCCUUGUAUUAUGGUACUGCUUUUCCUGAGCUUUUUCACCAGUUAAAAAAUUAAGACUUUAAUUUCACUUACGGAGGGGGGUAGAAUGCAUGGGCAAAUAGAGGAAAAUCGUGUCUUUCAAAGACAAAUAGUGGGAGAAUGGUAGAGGAUCUUUAACAUAUUUAGGUGAAUUUAAUGGCCAAGCUCAGUAAUGUGAGAAAAUUAACAUUCAGCACUUCUCUGAGUUAGAAAUUCUUCUUCUCUCGUAGAAAGAAGGGAAAAUGCAUGUCAUCUAUUGAGGUCUUUUCCACCUCCUCAAACAGCUGAGAAUCACCAACUUAUAUUUUUGUAUUACAUCAGUGACUUUAUAAAUGACAAUCUGCUUCAGUAUAUUUUUCAUUGUCAGCUCUUCAGAACUACCCAUAGUCCUCCGAAGGGAAUGUGACUUGCCUGCAUUCCUUAGAGGCGUUCCUAUUUUUUCCUGUGAUGCUCCCUCCUCACCAGUGCUGGUCGUCGAUGAUUGUAUAGGGGUGGAUACCUGACCAGUGGAAGUCAUAUAACUCACCCUUUUUUGUUCUGUGAACCUGCUUAGGAGUAACUAUAGAGCAAACUCGCCUACCAAGAAGCAAAGAGUGGGAUGUAGACACACAAAUGGAGUGAAGAGACCCUGAGGCUCUAGAAUGGGCUGGGCAGGGAGCGGAGCUGCUUCAGUCCUGAUAUAUUCCCUGUUUCCUCGAACAGACCACGUAAGACCAGGACCUACGUUGUAUUCUGUCCUUGGAUUCCACAGAUACUCCUGCCCAUAAGGAUACUCUUGACUGUAUGGAAUUUGGGUAGAAUUGCAGUCUUACUAUUACUAGAACUACUAUGAAACCCUCAAAUAUUUCAUCAGUGAGUUCUGUAUUCGGUGAACAAAAACUAAUUGUAAUGUAAAUGCGAGAUUCAUUAUUUACUCAUUUAUUCACCACUUUCUGAUGUGAAUGCCUCAUGUUCUAGGCGCUUUCCUAGGGACUGUGGUUAUAGCAAUAAAGAAAAUGGACAAAUAUAUUUGUCCUCAUGAAACUUGCACUCCAAUGUGGGAGAUGAGUAAUAAGAAGUGAGGGAUGUUAAUGAUAAUUUCUAGAGAAAAAUUGAGGAAGAGAACAGGGAAAAACUAGAGGAGAUGUUUGCAUUAUUUCAUGAAAUGUCCAGAGGAGCCUUUAUUUGGCAAAACGAUGCUGAAGCUGAGGGAAUUAGCCGAGAGGAAAACUUAAUGGCAGAGAACUUAGAAAAGAAGAAACAAGGAAUAAUGAAAAGGACUUUAGGUGGAUCUUGCCUAGCAGGUUUUGUAAAACAGACAAUGGGGUGGCUGGGUGGCUAGAGUGAAGUGAGCAAUUGAACGGUAGCAGAAUUGAGAUCACAGAGGAAACGGAGCCAGAUUAUGUAGAACCCAAUUUCCAAUUCUCCUAAUUAAAAAUCCUUAUUGGCAACAAGGGACAAGAGAUUAUGCACAGACUGUUAUCACCUGCUGAGUCCUCAGAGGCUGAGGUGACACACAUGCUCCUCGCUUAUAUGCACUGGUGGAAGAAUAGAAAAAUAAAGCAAUUGAUUAAAAUCCUG